AUCUUUCUAGUAUAAUUAAUACUAGUGAUUUCCAAUUACUAAAUCCCAGUUAAAAUCCGGGGAAAGAUA
RNAcentral lists this transfer RNA (69 nucleotides) under Fundulopanchax filamentosus. RNAcentral's name for it is "tRNA-Gly". It matches the Rfam family "tRNA". Rfam says of the family: Transfer RNA (tRNA) molecules are approximately 80 nucleotides in length. Their secondary structure includes four short double-helical elements and three loops (D, anti-codon, and T loops). Lineage: Eukaryota; Metazoa; Chordata; Actinopteri; Cyprinodontiformes; Nothobranchiidae. The record is from RNAcentral.